RNAcentral lists this ribosomal RNA (460 nucleotides) under uncultured bacterium. RNAcentral describes it as "bacterial SSU rRNA". It matches the Rfam family "Bacterial small subunit ribosomal RNA", at positions 340 to 789 of the family's 1533-position model. The record is from RNAcentral.
UACGGAAGGCAGCAGUGGGGAAUAUUGCACAAUGGGCGAAAGCCUGAUGCAGCUAUGCCGCGUGUAUGAAGAAGGCCUUAGGGUUGUAAAGUACUUUCAUCGGGGAGGAAAAAACAAAACUAGUAAUUUUAUUUCUUGACGUUACCCGAAAAAGAAGCACCGGCUAACUCCGUGCCAGCAGCCGCGGUAAUACGGAGGGUGCUAGCGUUAAUCAGAAUUACUGGGCGUAAAGAGCACGUAGGUGGUUUUUUUAAAGUCAGAUGUGAAAUCCCUGGGCUUAACCUAGGAACUGCAUUUUGAAACUGAAAUACUAGAGUAUCGUAGAGGGAGGUAGAAUUCUAGGUGUAGCGGUGAAAUGCGUAGAUAUCUGGAGGAAUACCUGUGGCGAAAGCGGCCUCCUAAACGAAUACUGACACUGAGGUGCGAAAGCGUGGGGAGCAAACAGGGAUUAGAUACCCGU